RNAcentral lists this ribosomal RNA (441 nucleotides) under uncultured bacterium. RNAcentral's name for it is "partial 16S ribosomal RNA". It matches the Rfam family "Bacterial small subunit ribosomal RNA", at positions 338 to 795 of the family's 1533-position model. The record is from RNAcentral.
CCUACGGGAGGCAGCAGUGGGGAAUAUUGGGCAAUGGACGCAAGUCUGACCCAGCAACGCCGCGUGAAGGAAGAAGGCUUUCGGGUUGUAAACUUCUUUUAAGGGGGAAGAGCAGAAGACGGUACCCUUUGAUUAAGCAACGCCAACUACGUGCCCGCAGCCGGGGGAAUUCGGAGGUUGGAAGGGUUGUCCGGGUUUACUGGGUGUAAAGGGCGUGCAGCCGGAGAGACAAGUCAGAUGUGAAAUCCACGGGCUCAACCCGUGAACUGCAUUUGAAACUGUUUCCCUUGAGUGUCGGAGAGGUAAUCGGAAUUCCUUGUGUAGCGGUGAAAUGCGUAGAUAUAAGGAAGAACACCAGUGGCGAAGGCGGAUUACUGGACGAUAACUGACGGUGAGGCGCGAAAGCGUGGGGAGCAAACAGGAUUAGAUACCCCUGUAGUC